Molecule: long non-coding RNA, 1271 nt
Filed under: Equus caballus (horse)
Lineage: Eukaryota; Metazoa; Chordata; Mammalia; Perissodactyla; Equidae
Description: lncRNA (ENSECAG00000046140.1)
Source: RNAcentral
UACGUUGUUUAAUAAAUGUUAACAGCAUUUACUGUUUUGUAAAAGUGUAAAGCAAAGUCCUUAGGCAAGAAUCAAGAGGCUCUUGUGUGGGAAGGUCUUGGCCGUUUAACCAGUGAUGGGAGGCGCAGGGCUUUGGUGACAUGGCGGGAGUCCAGGGGCCUCAAACUGGCAAAUCAGAGCAAACAACGGUGCAUCCAAGAGUGGUUUCAUCUACCUGGCUGAACAGAUCUCCUCCAACAGAAGGAUGUCCACAGGCACUAUCUGGAAGGUUUUUGUGGAGCUGAGGAUGGUCACGAUCGCUGAGAGGAUGCAGCCCAGUGGAUGUGCCACACGCCCCGUUCCAAAGAGGCAGCAUUGCACAGUGGGGAAGUCUUGGCUUCAGGAGUUCACAUCUAUCAUCAAAUACUCUACCACCUACUCUCAGUGUGGCCUUGGGCCAGUCCCCUAACUUUUCUUAGUAGUAGUUUUCUCAUCUGUGAAGCAGGAAUAAUAAUCAAGUCUAUCUCAUCGGGUUAUUCAGAGGAUUCAUUGAAAUGAUGUAAGCAAAGAAUUCCAUUUGGCACACAGUAAAUGGCCUAUUAUCAUUGGAGCCUGUCCUAUUCUGGUGACCUAAGCUGGCUCUUUGAGGUGUUCACUCCAGGCCCCCACCCUGGCCUGACCUGGUUUUCCAGAGGCUCAAAGAAGUAGGGAGGUCCCCAAAGCCACACAAAAUACCUCAUGGGUAGAGAAGGAGCUGCCCAGGUAGGUGACUGGAGGGAGCUGACAGUGAAGCAGGAGGAAGACCAGGGGCCAGCGGCGUCUUGAAGGCCCAGGGAGGGUAGAUUUGGUGAGAGAAGAGUGAUCGCCAGUGUCACGGGCUAGAGAGAGGGGAGACGUGCCAUGCAGCGGGAGCAGAAGAGCACCCCUGAACCCGGGAGGGGUGGUGUGAUGGGAGGUGGGAGGCCUGGGGGCUGGCCUCCCUGCUCUGAGGUCUUGGAGAAGUCCGUUGACCUCUCUGUCUUGGCCUUCCUAACUGUUAUGGUUAAAUGAUUUAUUCUUUUAAGUUUCUUGUAGGUUUAAGAGAUUCUAUGAUUAAAGAGUUGACUUUAAAUUGGAAAUUCAGUCUCAAUUCAACAGGCAUCUAUUAAGCACCCAGAAAACAAGACUCUGGCUGUGUUUAGGGCACCUUGGGGAGCAUGCACCUGGGUGAAAUCCUGGGUUUGUCACCCACUAUAGUUUGAUCUUUGAUGGACCUUUCAUUUUUCUUGAUCCUCAGUUUCCCCAUGUGUUCU